ACUUAAAUAGCUUAAUUAUUUAGAAGCAUGAUAUUGAAGAUAUCAAGAUGAUUCCAAUGGAUCUUUAAGUA
RNAcentral lists this transfer RNA (71 nucleotides) under Archimandrita tessellata. RNAcentral's name for it is "tRNA-Phe". The record is from RNAcentral. Lineage: Eukaryota; Metazoa; Arthropoda; Insecta; Blattodea; Blaberidae.